Long non-coding RNA from Boleophthalmus pectinirostris (great blue-spotted mudskipper), 510 nucleotides. RefSeq lists it as uncharacterized. NCBI's taxonomy places the organism in Eukaryota, Metazoa, Chordata, Actinopteri, Gobiiformes, Gobiidae. The record is from RefSeq and is a predicted model, not a curated record. The transcript has 3 exons.
GUCCCAAUUCGAGGGCUGCAGCCUCCGAAGGCUGGUUUUAAGGCCGCAUACGUCACUUCCGGUGAAAGAAGGCCUGUCCCAUUUCAUUUUUAUGUCAUGCAGCCUUCAAAUGCAGCCCUAAAACCGGCCUCGUUUCCAUGGAAAUGGGGCCGCGAACGGAGGACACAUCCGAGUAUCCUUCGCAGCCUUCAGUAUCCCAGCAUGCACCGCGCGGCGCCAGUCACAUGUUCGAAAACACGGAGCAAAAAGCCGGUCCCGAGAGCGGAGAAAAACAUCCUCCUGUAUGAGGACACGACACACUGCAGGGGCCACAGAACUGUUGGCUGACAAGAUGCUUGUGAUUCAUAAAAUGGGUCAAAUGCAGAUGACAAAGUAAAGCCAACACUGAGCUGGAGGUGCUGACCCAGACUCCUGCCAACGAUUAGGUUUCACUCUGCAGGACAGAACUUUGAAUCAAUCAGACGCAACAACCAUUCUGCUCUUCCUCCUCCAGAAGACGAGAGACACAUC